RNAcentral lists this transfer-messenger RNA (374 nucleotides) under Candidatus Allocopromorpha excrementavium. Its description in RNAcentral is "Lentihominibacter excrementavium Standard tmRNA". It matches the Rfam family "transfer-messenger RNA". From Rfam's summary of the family: Bacterial tmRNA, also known as 10Sa RNA or SsrA, is named for its dual tRNA and mRNA-like properties. Its role is to liberate the mRNA from a stalled ribosome. To accomplish this part of the tmRNA is used as a reading frame that ends in a translation stop signal. Lineage: Bacteria; Bacillati; Bacillota; Clostridia; Eubacteriales; Eubacteriaceae. The record is from RNAcentral. RNAcentral also lists the same sequence under 3 other names.
GGGGAUGUAAAGGUUUCGACGGGGGUGUGGAAGCCGGAUAAGCGGGUCGUAGUCGCCAAGUCUACGUUAAAAGUGGCCGUUUAAAUAUAAACGCUAAAAAGAAUAAUAAUUUCGCACCUGUAGCUAUGGCUGCGUAAGUCAGUCAUAAGCUGUGCGUGUCGUCUCCGGCUCACCUGCAGGCCGGAUGUACGGCAUCGAUCAUGCAGGAAAACUUCAUGUGAAAGCCCGGCAGCAUGAGGGAACAACGGGAUAGCCGAGGGCAAAGCCUGCUUUUGGGCGCUGUCUGAAGCGAAAUUUUAAAACAAAAGCUGCACCCGGAGAAAUUCCAGUGAAAAUGCUUUCGGACAUGGGUUCGACUCCCAUCAUCUCCACCA